GAAGCUUGGUUAGGUUAACAAACAAGGGUCAUUUCUAAGGCCAUUGAAACGAAAGUGCCGAUGCAAAAGAGACAUUCACAGUAUUAUUCACACUACUCGACUUUGUUUCAUUUGUUUCUUAUUUGAAACCUUCACAACACAUAUUCCACAACUCAAUUUUUAUUUUUCACUAUUUUUCUUCCAAGCAAGCAUUCAUUUUCAUUCUUUCUAUUUUUGUUCUUUUCUUUCACAUCAUAUAUACAAAACAGAUGUUUCUUUUCUAUAUUUUCUAUACAUAUAUAUUUUUAUGCUUGCUCGGUUUUUCUUUUCUUUUUCAAGAGUUGUGGUACUUACCGAUUCUUUUUCGUUCUCCCCAACUUAUUUCUUACUCACCCUAAGUGAAUGCUCUUAACUUUUUACGGCAAAAGAACAAUAAUCAAGAUUUUCCGGGUUGUAAAAAAAAGAUUUUUGAGAUCUCGCUUUAUUUCAAGCCGAG
Molecule: long non-coding RNA, 475 nt
Filed under: Lathyrus oleraceus (garden pea)
Lineage: Eukaryota; Viridiplantae; Streptophyta; Magnoliopsida; Fabales; Fabaceae
Description: Pisum sativum (pea) long non-coding RNA (PSAT_LNC006717)
Source: RNAcentral